CAAGUCGAACGUGAUCCGGGGCUUGCUCCGGUGAAAGUGGCGGACGGGUGAGUAACGCGUGGGAACCUGCCCAGUGGUCGGGGAUAACUGCGGGAAACUGCAGCUAAUACCCGGUAAGCCCUAUGGGGGAAAGAUUUAUCGCCAUUGGAGGGGCCCGCGUCGGAUUAGGUAGUUGGUGGGGUAAAGGCCUACCAAGCCUACGAUCCGUAGCUGGUCUGAGAGGAUGAUCAGCCACACUGGGACUGAGAUACGGCCCAGACUCCUACGGGAGGCAGCAGUGGGGAAUAUUGGACAAUGGGCGCAAGCCUGAUCCAGCAAUGCCGCGUGAGUGAAGAAGGCCUUAGGGUUGUAAAGCUCUUUCGGCGGGGACGAUGAUGACGGUACCCGCAGAAGAAGCCCCGGCUAACUCCGUGCCAGCAGCCGCGGUAAUACGGAGGGGGCUAGCGUUGUUCGGAAUUACUGGGCGUAAAGGGCGCGUAGGCGGCGCGAUAAGUUGGGCGUGAAAGGCCCGGGCUCAACCCGGGGACUGCGCUUGAUACUGUCGCGCUGUGAGUCCGGGAGAGGAUGGCGGAAUUCCCAGUGUAGAGGUGAAAUUCGUAGAUAUUGGGAAGAACACCGGUGGCGAAGGCGGCCAUCUGGACCGGCACUGACGCUGAGGCGCGAAAGCGUGGGGAGCAAACAGGAUUAGAUACCCUGGUAGUCCACGCCGUAAACGAUGCGUGCUAGACGUUGGGGGGCUUGCCCUUCGGUGUCGUCGCUAACGCAUGAAGCACGCCGCCUGGGGAGUACGGUCGCAAGAUUAAAACUCAAAGGAAUUGACGG
RNAcentral lists this ribosomal RNA (822 nucleotides) under uncultured Alphaproteobacteria bacterium. RNAcentral describes it as "bacterial SSU rRNA". It matches the Rfam family "Bacterial small subunit ribosomal RNA", at positions 58 to 916 of the family's 1533-position model. The record is from RNAcentral. Lineage: Bacteria; Pseudomonadati; Pseudomonadota; Alphaproteobacteria.